Molecule: small RNA, 81 nt
Organism: Hucho hucho (huchen)
Lineage: Eukaryota; Metazoa; Chordata; Actinopteri; Salmoniformes; Salmonidae
Source: Ensembl
GUUUUGCGUAAGGGAUUGCGGCGAUAUCCUUUAUUUUUUUCCUUUAAAAAAAUAAAGAUAAAGCCAAAAGCCCGACCCUGU